AGCCCCGGGGCCUGUGCACAUCUCCGCGCACGUGCUCCCGGGGGCGGCGCGUCCGGGGGCCGGACACCGGCCCUGCUCUGACUCCGCGCUGGGCUUGCGGGAGCGGAGCUGCCUGCAGGGCUCCGGACACUCCAGUGCGCCAGCAGGGGCAGCAUGGUGGUGGGGUGAGAUGGAUCCCCCCGACGCUUGGGACCCCUACAGCCGGCCGGCCCGCCGGACCCAGUGGCUGGUCAGCGCCCUGGCGUAUCACUACGGGCUGGACCGGGGCGUGGAGAACGAGAUCAUCGUGCUGGCCACGGGCUUGGACCAGUACUUGCAGGAGAUCUUCCACCACCUGGACUGCGAGGCGGAAGGCACGAUCCCCGGCGAGGACUUCCGCACCCUCUGCCAGGUGCUGGGGCUGGCGGACCCGGAGGAGGCGGCGGCCGACCCGGAGGAGUGCGCCGGCCUGUGCGACGACCUGGCCCCGGAGCUGAGCUUCCGCCAGUUCCACGCCAAGCUCUGCGGCUACUUCAGCACCAAGGCCGGCUGCGCGCAGCAGCAGCGCCCGGCGCUGGGCAGGCUGCCGCUGGGCAAGGAGAGCGAGCACAUCGAGACCCAGAUCCGGCUGCGCAGCCCGCUGCGGCGGCGCCGGGCCAGGGCGGGCCAGGGGGCUGCUGCCGUCAAAAGCGGCGGCCCCCGCGGGGCUUCUCCUCCCCCGGCCGCCCCCGGGCUGGCCCCGCACGCCAGGCGGCCGGGCCCCUGCUCCAGGGAGUGCUACGAGGAGAUCGUGGCUCUGGAGCAGGCUGAAGACCGGAUCGUGAAGCUGGAGGAAGAGAACGGCAGCCUGCGGGAGCUGGUGGAGGACAUGCGGGCAGCGCUGCAGAGCAGCGACGCCAGGUGCCUCGCUCUGCAGGUAGGACUGUGGAAAAGCCAUGCUAAUCAUACGAAAGAUGGGACCUGUUUUAUAGGUAAUAGGAGACAGUUAACUCCCAAACACUCCCAGCCCACCAAGUGCCUUCAGAGUGUCCUAAAGGAGGUGGAACUAAUCCGGAAUUCCAGGGAUGGACAAAUUGAAGAAGCAAUUAGGGUCAAUCACGAACUGCAAAAAGAACUGAGGAGUUCCCAGGAAGCUAUAGUCACCCUGGAAGACUGCAACCAUAAUCUGAAGAGGGAACAGGCAGAAAUGAGGAAGAAAGUGGAAGAAGCUAGACAUGCAGUCCUUAACAGUCUUGGUAAAGUGAAGGAGUUAGAAGCAAAAGCCAAUAAAGUGCCACAUUUGCAGAUAUACAUCCAGCAGCUAGAAUCAGAACUACAGUACUAUAGGUCAGAGGUUCUGAAGCUUCAGCUUCCUUCAAGAGGCAGCACAAAGCAAAAAGAAGGAGCAGCACUACUGGAUGGAAGACACUGUUUAUCUGCUGUGCAACUGGAUCGAAGCUCACCCACUGGGGGAGCAGGGAUGUCAGAGAAUGUGGAAGAUCAGAUGUUCCGUUCUGUGGAGGGCCAGGCUGCCUCAGAUGAAGAGGAGGAGAAGUGGAUAGGGGACCAGCAAUCCCAGGUGGCUGAAUUGAAGAAACUUCUGGACAGGGUUCCCUGUUGUGGAAGUGGAUGUGAUGACAAAAUGGUGAAGAAACUGAUGUCUUAUUUUGGGAGUGCCAAUAAUGAUGACCAUGAGAAUGCCACUGUGGAGCUAGCAGAGAGAAUCACCAUGUUAACUGAACAGCUUGAGAUGAAAGGGAACGAAGUGAAAAAACUGGAAACAAACAUGAAGGAGAUGAAAGGCCCAUUGCUAGGUGAACUGCAACAAAAGGUGGAGGAGACUGAAUUGUUGAAGAUGGAGCUACAGAUGUUGGAGACUGAGAGAGUUAGGCUGUCACUGGUGGAAGAAAAGCUCAUGGAUGUUUUACAGCUUCUUCAACAACUUCAAGACCUGAACAUAUCUAAGCGAGCCUUGGGGAAAAUCUUGCUGAGCACUUUGGAAUCCUGUCGUGACCCCCAACAUGGAAAAGCCCACAUUCUUGAGGUCCUAGAUACUCUCUACCAUGAGCUGGCUGCCUGUGAACUCCUACAAAGCGAGCCUCUAGAAAAAGCUCAAAGUCACCAGUCCUUGUCUAACCCACUGGUUAUCUCUUGUUGAGCAACAGUGCCAUCUACAGUUCGUCAUGAUUAGUCAAGUAUCUAAAAUCUUACCAUGUUAAACAGAGGGUGGAAGAAUGAGUUUGCCAGAUUUGGAGGAGUUCAAUAAUAAAGGGACAAGUUAGGACAACUAAGCCAUGAAAUCACAGGUAUACUGCUCUGGGAAGACCUCUAAUUCCUCAGCUAACUUCGCAGCUGUCCUCUAUAAGUGUUCACAUUUCAUGAGACUUACUUAAUGAUGUCCAUCUCUGAAGCCUGACAACCACCACAUUAUGGCAUUGUAACUGUACCAGUUCACCAAAUGAAAAGUAUUACAAAUGCACUGAUCAGCUCAAUAGAGGAAAACCCCAAACUGAAUAGCUGAUUGUCGAUUAGCUAGAGAUUUUUCCUCUUCUGAUAGCUGAACCAGUACAUUCAAUAGUGGAAGACAGACUAACUGGCUGACACAUGUUGCUUUCUUAAAGUACAAGAGACAAAAUUGCUGUGUUAUAAAGAUAUAUGCACACCAGUAUAUGCCAGUAGGGCAAGUUAAAGACCCAUGUAUAAAUGUAUGUGUUUGUGAUUGUGAUUAUAUAUCUUAUUUAACUCUAGAGAUACAUUUAUGUUUCUGUUCAUGCGGAUUUUGUACACCUCUACCCUGCUAUAACACGGUCCUCGGGUGACAAAAAAAUCUCACCGCGUUAUAGUAAACUGCUUGGAAAAAAGUGAAGAAUGAUCUUGUUCCCCAAGUUGCCAGGAACUGGGAAGGCUACAGAGAUAGGGAGUGAAAGGAAGAAAGCUUCAUAUUACUCUUUCCCCAACCAACUGGCAAAUGAUAUACAUAUAAGACAUUCCCAUCCCAUAUAGUCUAAGUGAGAUUGUAAAGAUACAAAGCAAGGCCUCAUUUGCAGGCAAAGGGCUUGAUGGAAGUAAAAUGCUGGACAUGCUCAUGAAAGCAUAUAUUCUGGUCAGUAAUAAGCAGGGCCGGCUCCAGGUUUUUCACCGCCCCAAGCAAAAAAA
Mauremys reevesii (Reeves's turtle) is the source of this 3114-nucleotide RNA transcript. It is a transcript of the gene named EF-hand and coiled-coil domain containing 1, with no coding region annotated. NCBI's taxonomy places the organism in Eukaryota, Metazoa, Chordata, Testudines, Geoemydidae. The record is from RefSeq and is a predicted model, not a curated record. The transcript is spliced from 9 exons.